UUCCCCUUCGGGGGACAAAGUGACAGGUGGUGCAUGGUUGUCGUCAGCUCGUGUCGUGAGAUGUUGGGUUAAGUCCCGCAACGAGCGCAACCCUUAAGCUUAGUUGCCAUCAUUAAGUUGGGCACUCUAAGUUGACUGCCGGUGACAAACCGGAGGAAGGUGGGGAUGACGUCAAAUCAUCAUGCCCCUUAUGAUUUGGGCUACACACGUGCUACAAUGGACAAUACAAAGGGCAGCGAAACCGCGAGGUCAAGCAAAUCCCAUAAAGUUGUUCUCAGUUCGGAUUGUAGUCUGCAACUCGACUACAUGAAGCUGGAAUCGCUAGUAAUCGUAGAUCAGCAUGCUACGGUGAAUACGUUCCCGGGUCUUGUACACACCGCCCGUCACACCACGAGAGUUUGUAA
RNAcentral lists this ribosomal RNA (404 nucleotides) under Staphylococcus haemolyticus. Its description in RNAcentral is "bacterial SSU rRNA". It matches the Rfam family "Bacterial small subunit ribosomal RNA", at positions 1013 to 1417 of the family's 1533-position model. The record is from RNAcentral. Lineage: Bacteria; Bacillati; Bacillota; Bacilli; Caryophanales; Staphylococcaceae.